This is a non-coding RNA of Phrynosoma platyrhinos (Desert horned lizard), 74 nucleotides long. Lineage: Eukaryota; Metazoa; Chordata; Lepidosauria; Squamata; Phrynosomatidae. The record is from the annotation of a GenBank genome assembly.
GACCAAUGUGAGGCAAUGGUUUGAGUGCUGGCCUAGGACUCCAGGGGACUAGGGUUCGAAUCCCCCCUUGGCCA